This 348-nucleotide ribosomal RNA is filed under the name Enterobacillus tribolii. RNAcentral's name for it is "bacterial SSU rRNA". It matches the Rfam family "Bacterial small subunit ribosomal RNA", at positions 1189 to 1533 of the family's 1533-position model. The record is from RNAcentral. Lineage: Bacteria; Pseudomonadati; Pseudomonadota; Gammaproteobacteria; Enterobacterales; Hafniaceae.
GUCAUCAUGGCCCUUACGAGUAGGGCUACACACGUGCUACAAUGGCGUAUACAAAGAGAAGCGACCUCGCGAGAGCAAGCGGACCUCAUAAAGUACGUCGUAGUCCGGAUUGGAGUCUGCAACUCGACUCCAUGAAGUCGGAAUCGCUAGUAAUCGUGGAUCAGAAUGCCACGGUGAAUACGUUCCCGGGCCUUGUACACACCGCCCGUCACACCAUGGGAGUGGGUUGCAAAAGAAGUAGGUAGCUUAACCUUCGGGAGGGCGCUUACCACUUUGUGAUUCAUGACUGGGGUGAAGUCGUAACAAGGUAACCGUAGGGGAACCUGCGGUUGGAUCACCUCCUUACCU